Molecule: long non-coding RNA, 221 nt
Filed under: Cicer arietinum (chickpea)
Lineage: Eukaryota; Viridiplantae; Streptophyta; Magnoliopsida; Fabales; Fabaceae
Description: long non-coding RNA (CARI_LNC000140)
Source: RNAcentral
UCUCAACCAAACACAAAAUCAGAAUUUGUCUUUAAUAUAUAGUAUAGUAGAAGUAUAUUCUCCUCUAUACAUUAUACUAAUGAGAUUGAUUUCCAUACCACAAGUGACUUGAGAAAUUCCAUGACCUGCAUAUACAACAUUGUGGUACAACUUAUGUCAUAAAAACCUUUAUACUAUUAUAUAUUACAUGUUUGGAUUCACGACGAAUUUAGUAAAAUCAC